AGGAGGCCAAUGGUGCCAUGUGAUACUCGUGAGUAAGCUGUUGUUAUAAUGAACCACUGGGUAUAAGAUUUCCUAUAUAAAAGACUCUGAUCCUUACUGUCAAGUAAUACUCAACAUAAACACACCUGCUAGAAAGUUGAGCUCUCUGUAAGCAAGGACUGAACCAUGGGAUCCCUUAAGCUUACCCUCUCUGUGCUUGUGCUUGCCUGCUACGUUGCACAGGCAUUGAAGUGUAACAUCUGCCUAUACAACUCUGCCUGUGGGGAUCCUAGAGAGUGCACCUCUGUGGAAGACAAGUGUAUAAAGAUUGUCAUGAAUGAUACAAUUAUCAUUCGACGCUGUGCCAAAUCAAAUGAAUGCCCACAGGAGAAAAAACUGGAGGGCUUGGUGACAAAAACCUGCUGCGACACUGACUUCUGCAACUGAGCUGAGAAGAUUGCCACCUGCAGGCACAGAUGUGUUGUCUGAAUGUGAUUCUUGCAAUAUUCCUCAUUCAAAAAUACAUUGUUUAGUAAAUGUAUUUGUGUUGAUAAUUGUAGCUUUUGAUUGUUCAUGUCAGCAAACAGAUUUUUGCAAAUGUAUGAAUAAAAUAUAGGUCAAUACAGUCCAACUAUGCAAAAGCUAGAAUAAAGCACACCUUUGCAAAAUCUAUUAAACACAUACUUUGUGUUUGUGCACAUCAAGGAAUGGUGUGUAACUACAGUUGGGUUCAAUACAAUUAUUUUAAUUCACACAUAAUGCUUAAUCAAUUGGGACACUAGGGCAGUUAGCUCUCCUGCAGAGCUUGAUCGAACCUGCCUUCAGUCAGUUAUCACAUUGCAUCUCCCCAGUAAUCUAAUAAAUUUCCACUAAUUAAGCACAUGAUUGAAAGCAAUGUUCCCACAUUGUCAUGUGCUGCUUCCAAUGUGUAGGACUGCAGACAUGUGUAAAAGAUGUUCAUAGUGUAGGGUGGUAAUUUUUCACAAAAAUUGUUAACAUUACUUAUAAUAGUGAAAUAGCUUGCUGCUGUGUUGGCUUCUAAAAAAUUAAAUACUAAAACAUAUGAUUAUGAAAUAAAAAUGUGAUUUUGUGAUCAAA
Anguilla rostrata (American eel) is the source of this 1077-nucleotide long non-coding RNA. RefSeq lists it as uncharacterized. The record is from RefSeq and is a predicted model, not a curated record. The transcript has 4 exons. NCBI's taxonomy places the organism in Eukaryota, Metazoa, Chordata, Actinopteri, Anguilliformes, Anguillidae.